Monodelphis domestica (gray short-tailed opossum) is the source of this 1801-nucleotide long non-coding RNA. RefSeq lists it as uncharacterized. NCBI's taxonomy places the organism in Eukaryota, Metazoa, Chordata, Mammalia, Didelphimorphia, Didelphidae. The record is from RefSeq and is a predicted model, not a curated record.
CUAGAAAUGAAUCUAAUUUAGAAGUUAGUUCCUGUUCAGUGGAAAACUAGGGGUAUUCAAUUGUUAUGUGAGAUUUAUUUCUUUAAAUUCAUAUCUAUGCCUCUAUAGUCUAUUAUAGUAAAUACUUCUUCCAUAUUUAUUUAAAGAGUGUUCGGUGGGUGUGUGGGAUGAGAUUCAGUGUGUAAUUCUCAGAGUAGUCUUUAGCUUAUUGUAACCCCAAUUUUAAAGACCCCUUAGUGUUAUUAUUCCUUAGACUAAAACUGCCUGCCCCCCUCCCCACUACCCCCAAUAAAACUUCUAGUUUUCCUGACCCAUUUUCAAAAACCUUGAGAAGAGUUUAUCUGUAUCCUGGGAAGAAAGCCAACUAUAAGAUAAGCUGAAUGAGGGAAAGUACAGUGAGUUUCAAAAGUUUUAUUACGGUCCCCAGCCGAGGAAUCCCAUGAUAGUCAUGGGUUUUUCGCAGCCUCCCCCUCUCCCCCCGCCCCUUCUGUGGAAUUGGCCAAAGAGGAGGAAGAGAGUCUUGCAUCAGGAUUGUUAUAAAAGUCUAUGAUUGUACUUAGAAGAGAGGACAUUUUUGCCCUGAGCAAGUCACUUGUGUGGGCAGAAUCCCUUCUCCCCCAUUCCCCACUCCCUGCUGUCUGCUGUUUUCUUUGAAUAAAGCUGCUUUUCUUUGCCAGCAUCUUAUCAAGUCACCUGUCUGCUUAUUAGAGUGAUUUCUGGGGGUAUGAGUCUCCCCAGAAUUCCACUCCAAACAGAUGGGGGCUCAUCCGGGAUUCUAUAAUGUUAGAAGUGCCUCAGUUUACCCACUAGGAAAAAUCUGAGUCCUUCUUUAUGCUUUUUAAAAAAACCCUGUGAGCAAGAGAGCCUGUAAGGACUGAUAGAUGCAAGAGAAAAGAGACUGGAGCCAACACUUCUAACGUAGAGACCAUUCAUUUUGCACAUGAACACUAACCAGUAUUUAAAAAUGCCCCUUUUCUGGACAAGCAAUCCUUGCUUAUGGAGAGCAAAGGAUGGAAUGCUCCAAUUGGCUUAUGCCGAAAAUCACACCAGAAGUCUCUCAGAGAGAAGAGCAAUGCUGAUUGACCUCCUUGCUAUUCACCAGAGUGAUAGAUAUGGUACACAAAUGUCCUCUAUAUGUGCAUGUAUGUCAAGAGAAGUAUCUAUGCAUGUGGAAGAUAAAUAGGUGUGUCCUGGCCAUGUUCUAACCACAAAAUCCAAGGAAUUGCGAAACUUCUUUUUGUUGUAGUGUUUGGGCAUUACUCUAAAUAGAUGAGGAAUCCUGGAAACUUUAAGGUCUGUGGAUUUUAAUUGAAUUAAUACUGGUCAUAUUCAUACAUUCAUUCAGCUACAUUCAUAGAGGGCAUGAUCCACUGAACUAUAAGUCCUGACUAUAUAUUGAAUGUGAGCAAAGAAGGGGUAAUAUACAAGAUGAACCAGUGGUAUAAAUUCAAGGCUGUAAAUUAGUCCUCAAAGAUAUCCUUGAGAUUUAGUGAGGUGGAAUUCAUGACUGGGAUAUGCCUACGGAAGGGUUUAACUUAAUGCUUUAUCUUGUCACAAUAGAAACAAAUAUCUCUUAAAAGUUUAUCCACUGUGAAUAGAAUGCGUAGCUGUGCCCUUUAACUGUAAAAACAUGGCAUAAAAGUAUUGGGCAACUGCAUUAGAAUACUUUUGUUUCUACUCAAUGUUGAUUUUAUUUACAUUGUUACUUUCAUGUAUAUUUGGGGGGGAUUUGCUUUCUUUACUUCAAACAUGUCCCUUGUUUCACUGAAUUCUUUAUAUUCAUCAUCCAUUAAUUUGAUGA